GUGAAGAACGUAGCGAAAUGCGAUACGUAAUGUGAAUUGCAGAAUUCAGUGAAUCAUCGAGUCUUUGAACGCACAUUGCGCCCCCUGGUAUUCCGGGGGGCAUGCCUGUCCGAGCGUCAUUGCUGCCCUCAAGCACGGCUUGUGUGUUGGGCCUCCGUCCUCCUCCCGGGGGACGGGCCCGAAAGGCAGCGGCGGCACCGCGUCCGGUCCUCGAGCGUAUGGGGCUUCGUCACCCGCUCUUGUAGGCCCGGCCGGCGCUUGCCGACACAUCAAUCUUUUUUCCAGGUUGACCUCGGAUCAGGUAGGGAUACCCGCUGAACUUAAGCAUAUCAAUAAGCGGAGG
This 343-nucleotide unclassified non-coding RNA is filed under the name soil metagenome. RNAcentral's name for it is "partial contains 5.8S ribosomal RNA, internal transcribed spacer 2, and large subunit ribosomal RNA". The stretch from base 2 to 119 matches the Rfam family "5.8S ribosomal RNA", at positions 37 to 154 of the family's 154-position model. The record is from RNAcentral.